UAUUAAAAUCCCAUGAUUUGCCAUGGGGUCUCCAACUGCAUGCCAGGGUAACUGGAGAGACUUUGACAGCCCUGGCCAGCACAGUGCCUGCAGCUGCCACUCGACUUUCCUAUAUAU
This is a small nucleolar RNA of Myodes glareolus (Bank vole), 117 nucleotides long. RefSeq annotates it as small nucleolar RNA SNORA44. The record is from RefSeq and is a predicted model, not a curated record. Lineage: Eukaryota; Metazoa; Chordata; Mammalia; Rodentia; Cricetidae.